UACGUAGGGGGCAAGCGUUGUCCGGAAUCAUUGGGCGUAAAGGGUGCGUAGGUGGCGCUGUAAGUCGGGUGUGAAAUUUCGGAGCUUAACUCCGAAACUGCAUUCGAUACUGCGGUGCUUGAGGACUGGAGAGGAGACUGGAAUUCAUGGUGUAGCAGUGAAAUGCGUAGAGAUCAUGAGGAAGACCAGUGGCGAAGGCGGGUCUCUGGGCAUUAACUGACGCUGAGGAGCGAAAGCAUGGGGAGCGAACAGG
RNAcentral lists this ribosomal RNA (253 nucleotides) under uncultured bacterium. RNAcentral's name for it is "partial 16S ribosomal RNA". It matches the Rfam family "Bacterial small subunit ribosomal RNA", at positions 524 to 776 of the family's 1533-position model. The record is from RNAcentral.